GGAGAGGUGCCAGAGUGGUUGAAUGGGGCGGUCUCGAAAAUCGCUGUGGGGUUUUGCUCCACCGAGGGUUCGAAUCCCUCCCUCUCCGCCA
RNAcentral lists this transfer RNA (91 nucleotides) under Nitrospirota bacterium. RNAcentral's name for it is "Nitrospirae bacterium tRNA-Ser". It matches the Rfam family "tRNA". Rfam says of the family: Transfer RNA (tRNA) molecules are approximately 80 nucleotides in length. Their secondary structure includes four short double-helical elements and three loops (D, anti-codon, and T loops). The record is from RNAcentral. Lineage: Bacteria; Pseudomonadati; Nitrospirota. RNAcentral also lists the same sequence under 1 other name.